GAUCAUGCUCAGGACGAACGCUGGCGGCGCGCCUAACACAUGCAAGUCGAACGAGAGAGAAGGAGCUUGCUUCUUCGAUCGAGUGGCGAACGGGUGAGUAACGCGUGAGGAACCUGCCUCAAAGAGGGGGACAACAGUUGGAAACGACUGCUAAUACCGCAUAAGCCCACGGGUGGCAUCGACCUGAGGGAAAAGGAGCAAUCCGCUUUGAGAUGGCCUCGCGUCCGAUUAGCUAGUUGG
This 240-nucleotide ribosomal RNA is filed under the name uncultured bacterium. RNAcentral describes it as "partial 16S ribosomal RNA". It matches the Rfam family "Bacterial small subunit ribosomal RNA", at positions 15 to 252 of the family's 1533-position model. The record is from RNAcentral.